GGAGGGGUGGCCGAGAGGCUGAAGGCGACGGUUUGCUAAACCGUUUUAGGAUUUAACUCCUAACGUGGGUUCGAAUCCCAUCCCCUCCG
RNAcentral lists this transfer RNA (89 nucleotides) under Candidatus Endolissoclinum faulkneri L5. It matches the Rfam family "tRNA". Rfam says of the family: Transfer RNA (tRNA) molecules are approximately 80 nucleotides in length. The record is from Rfam by way of RNAcentral. Lineage: Bacteria; Pseudomonadati; Pseudomonadota; Alphaproteobacteria; Rhodospirillales; Rhodospirillaceae.